GUGCUAAGGUAGCAUAAUCAUUUGCUACUUAAUUGGUAGCUGGAAUGAAAGGUUAAACUAGCUUACUCAGUUUGUUGUGUUUUGUAAGAAAUUAAAGUCGAGGUAAGAAUUCUUUGAUCUGCUAGGGGACGAUAAGACCCUAGAAGCUUAACAAUAAGAGUAUUUAUUAGUUAUAAAAAUUAAUUUGUUUUACUGGGGCGGUAAAGGUAUAUAAACUAUUAGUGUAUUGAUAGAUCCUUAAAAUAAAGAUAAAACGGGAAAGUUACUCUAGGGGUAACAGUGCAAUAUUUUUGGAGAGAUCAUAUCGAUAAAAAUGUUUGCAACCUCGAUGUUGAAUUAAGAUGUCUACGUGAAGCAGCAGGUACGUGAGAGGGUUUGUUCAACCCUUAAAUUUUUACAUGAUCUGAGUUCAAACCG
RNAcentral lists this ribosomal RNA (417 nucleotides) under Gammarus sp. lacustris-type SB68. RNAcentral's name for it is "partial 16S ribosomal RNA". It matches the Rfam family "Bacterial large subunit ribosomal RNA", at positions 1948 to 2618 of the family's 2925-position model. Lineage: Eukaryota; Metazoa; Arthropoda; Malacostraca; Amphipoda; Gammaridae. The record is from RNAcentral.